This 352-nucleotide unclassified non-coding RNA is filed under the name fungal sp. RNAcentral describes it as "partial internal transcribed spacer region". The stretch from base 1 to 46 matches the Rfam family "Eukaryotic small subunit ribosomal RNA", at positions 1786 to 1831 of the family's 1831-position model. The record is from RNAcentral. Lineage: Eukaryota; Fungi.
AAGUCGUAACAAGGUUUCCGUAGGUGAACCUGCGGAAGGAUCAUUAACACGAAUAAUAAUCAUCCAUUAUUCAAACAACUGUGAACUGUUCUCCUCCCAGCAUUGUCUUUCGGGACAUGCUGGCUACCAAUCUCUUUCUCAUUCUGUUCUCUUUAUCGAGUUCGAAUGAGACGAGAUCUUUUCUUUAACCCCAUUAAAAUCAUCUUAUUGCUUUAUUCUCUACUUGAUUGUAUUGUAAUGAAUCAAUGCUUUUCUCCCAUUGUUUAAAUUAUUAAUAAAUUGUCAAUGUGGCGUUCUACGUAAUGUAAAACAUGAGUUAAAACAACUCUUAGCAAUGGAUAUCUUGGUUCUC